AACGCAGACUCGGUAAAGACUCGGAUCACUUGCAGGCAAAACUAAUCCACCCCCCCCCCUUUUUUUUAAUAAAAGAAAGAAAAGAAAAUCAUUAAUUAGGUUCAGAUCUAAAAUGCUGCUUUGAAAACGCACGCACAUGUUGAAGACUCUGGGACUGUAAUUUCUUGGGUAAACAUCUGGUGAAGACAUUCCAGGAACACAUCUGAAAGGAAGAAAGGCGUCCCGGAUCCCCCACUCCAGGCCCUGAGAAGGCUUCGGGCGACGGCAGGUGGACGGAUCCAGCAAGCGGGAGGCGCAAGAACUGCGCAACAAGGUCACGACCGCGAGGCUGCAGACCCGGGCUGCGGCGCGCGCGGGACCGGGCGCCGCCCUCUGGCCCCGGAGCUGACCCAGCCGCCGAGCCGGUCUUCGCCACUGGCCUGGCACGACCCGAGGGGAAUGAAGGGGCGACCCCGCAGAAACAACCCUUGCUUUAAAGGUGGAAGCUGAAACCUGCGGGGCUCCCUGGCAAGCUGUCCUGGAAGAUCAGCCGCACGGUACUACUGAACUUGAGAAGGGGCUCUCAGCUCUGCCCACCCCUCUUCCUGUGGCGACCUGCGGGAGACUUUUAUCUGCUCCCCUCUGUGUCUUCGUGCCCCUGGGAACUUGGCCCAGUCGGCCUAGUUCUCCAUAUAAAUUAGUGGUUCCAUCAAUUCAGCACCCUCUUCUCAGGCGGACUUCCAGGGUGUCUUGUAAGACAUUACUAGACAUUGAAAAAGCUCGAUGCUUUUUUUUUUUCUUCUUCUUUCUGAGGGAGUUUUGUGUGAAAGUAAAAUCUUCUAGGCGUUAAAAACCAAAUCAAACCACAAAGCCAAAAAACAAAACAUGCUGCCUUCACGUGAGUGGAUUGUGAAGUCAAUCCAAGCCUUCCUUGGGCCAGCCUUUGCUCAGAUAGUCGGGUUCCUGAAUCUUCCAGGAAAAUAGAGCCCCUUCAGACACUUGGGGGGGGGGGUAAUAAGACUACAAUAUAUUUCCAUGCUUAAAACAUUUCUUUGCAGAAGCAAGAUUUCCUAAAAGUGGUCUGCCAGUGAUGCAUGGAAAAGCAAACCAGCUUACAGAGAGGGGCCUCUGAAGAGGAAGGGGGAGAGGCAGGACCCAGCCCCAAUUACAAACCGCAGUUUCCAACUGUUGAACCACAGCACUGCUACAGUGGGACUGGUGGGAUGUCCUGACUGACCCUGGAGCUGACAGGUUGCAGACCUCUGGGGCUCUUUUUCACGGUUUGCUGGAAGUGCUGGACUUCUCAGGGUAGCCCUUCCCAACCGCAGAGUUAAGCCCCCCUUUUGUGUUUUGUGGGCAUAUGUUUGGACCCUGCAUCAAGCCUUGCUCCUCACACACUUCAGGUGGAUAAGCUGUUGUUCUUCAGCUGACCAUGCGUGCACCCAGGGUGGGAAUGUGGGUGCCAUCACAGACGAAGGUGUGUGUUUGUGCCAGUUUGUUGUCUGACACCCCACCCCUCGUCCCUGCCAGCCCCACCGCUAAGAAAUGGACUUUAACACAGCGCUCCAGAAACUCUCCUAGGAGUUUCUUCCUGGGAGAAGACACCACUGAAAUUCUUUUGCAACCAAGGUUUAUGUGUUUUGUCUAAAGAACUCAAGAGAAGAGUUGCAAAGAUUGCGAGCUGUGCAAUGUCUCAGGUCAAGAGAACUUACUCAGGUCCUAGACACUCAAAACUCUGAAGGGGAAAUCACCAAGAGUAUUUUGCUCAGAAAGUACAGCUUUCCAGCUUCAUGAGAAUAAGGACUGCUUUCUGUACACCUCAAAUCAUUCAAACAACACAACAAGUCUCAACUGCCCCCUUUCACAAACAAAACACACACCCUCAAGUAUUUCUGGUCCUCUUGUGGUUACCAAACUAUUUUGUAGCACAUUAAUGGUGAUCCCCACUUUUGCAAAGUUUCUUGCUCUUUACCCUGAUAAGUUGCACUUGUUCUGGGUAGAACACAACCUUGCCUUUGAGCCCUUGACCAUGCUUUCAACCAUUUUAAAGGUUACAUUUUAGUCUUAAGGGAUAAAAAUGUUCCUUUCAUCCUGUACACAGAGUGCCAGGGCCCAAAGUGGGCAAGUCUGUAGGAAACCCAAUCUCUUGGCUUUGCUAAGAUCAGAUGGACAGUUUCAACAUGCCAGUUCUUGUCUGCUAAAACGCCAGGGCAAGGUACUCAGGCCACUGCGGACAGACGGAUCAUCUGUUUCUCUGACUCUAGCGCUGGGCAGGCUGAGCACAUCUGCCAAUUUUAAGGAAGAGAAAUCGGCUCAGGCCAGAAAGAGCAGGAGAACCCCUUUUUCCAUUAGGGCAACUUCAUUAAGCAAGAGCUAGAUCUUCACAAAAGGGGACACAUUUUGCUUAAGCCUGUUCUUUCUUGGGAAGCAUGGAGAGACCAGGCCCACCAAUAUCCUCAGUAAAAACUACCAGAAAUGUGCAGUGCUCUAGGAUGUCGGCUUGGGAGUCAUUGAAGGCCAGACUGUUACAGUUAAUCUCGCCUCUUUUAGUUUCCAUUGCUCUCUUUCUCCUUUGGUCUCUUUCCUUCUUGGUGUUCCCUACCUCCUGUAGUUAUGAGUUAAUAAAAACAUGUCCCUAUUUUUAAAAAGAUCCAUAAAGUUGAUGCUAAAUUUGAGAGUUAAUGUUGCAACUAAACUCUCCUGGAGCCACAUCUUUUCUGUCUGUAAUGCCAGCAACCAUUUGUCCUUAAAAACUUACUAUAAUGAUUCUUUCAAGGCCUUUGAGAAAAUGUAAUAAACAACUAAUUGGAAAAAAAA
Molecule: long non-coding RNA, 2796 nt
Filed under: Sus scrofa (pig)
Lineage: Eukaryota; Metazoa; Chordata; Mammalia; Artiodactyla; Suidae
Description: lncRNA (ENSSSCG00025058721.1)
Source: RNAcentral